This 228-nucleotide ribosomal RNA is filed under the name uncultured bacterium. RNAcentral's name for it is "partial 16S ribosomal RNA". It matches the Rfam family "Bacterial small subunit ribosomal RNA", at positions 1275 to 1500 of the family's 1533-position model. The record is from RNAcentral.
CAAAACUACGGUCUCAGUUCAGAUUGCAGGCUGCAACUCGCCUGCAUGAAGUUGGAAAUUGCUAGUAAUCGCGAAUCAGAAUGUCGCGGUGAAUACGUUCCCGGGCCUUGUACACACCGCCCGUCACACCAUGAGAGUCGAUAACACCCGAAGCCUGUGAGCUAACCUUUUAGGAGGCAGCAGUCGAAGGUGGGGUUGAUGAUUGGGGUGAAGUCGUAACAAGGUAGC